GUUUAUUCAAAUUGAGAACACAAUUCAGAGUACCAUUCAGAGUAAAUCGCAUGUAAACCACUUUUCACUAGACUGUGGAAACUAAUUUAUUUUUUAUACUAGUCUUUACUAAGGAAUAUGGACGUGGCAGGACACAGACUGUAUAUAUGAGACAGCAAACAAUUAUACAAAGAUAAGCUGAUUUGAGUAAUUGUGUUGGCUGUAUAAAAUUAGAUAUUUUGAAAGAGGGGGAAAAAACCAUAUUGGGGAGGUAUUUCCUCUUUAACAGUAAUUUGAUUAGUGUAGAGAAUUAC
Molecule: non-coding RNA, 293 nt
Organism: Pelobates cultripes (western spadefoot toad)
Lineage: Eukaryota; Metazoa; Chordata; Amphibia; Anura; Pelobatidae
Source: the annotation of a GenBank genome assembly